CUGGUCCCAGGACUGAGCCGG
This 21-nucleotide unclassified non-coding RNA is filed under the name Mus musculus (house mouse). RNAcentral's name for it is "oocyte_clustered_small_RNA10395". Lineage: Eukaryota; Metazoa; Chordata; Mammalia; Rodentia; Muridae. The record is from RNAcentral.